AUGACCAUAGAUCGAACCUAUCCUAUUUUUACAGUGCAAUGGCUGGCUAUUCACGGACUAGCUGUACCUACUGUUUUUUUUCUUGGGAUCAAUAUCAGCAAUGCAGUUCAUCCAACGAUAAACCAAAUUCCAACUAUAGAACUAUGA
Molecule: ribosomal RNA, 147 nt
Filed under: Triticum aestivum (bread wheat)
Lineage: Eukaryota; Viridiplantae; Streptophyta; Magnoliopsida; Poales; Poaceae
Description: partial small subunit ribosomal RNA
Source: RNAcentral